UACGUAGGUGGCGAGCGUUGUCCGGAUUUACUGGGCGUAAAGAGCGCGCAGGCGGCUGGUCAGGUCCGAUGUGAAAGCUCCCGGCUUAACUGGGAAAUUGCAUCGGAAACUGAUCGGCUGGAAGGUGGGAGAGGGUAGCGGAAUUCCCGGUGUAGUGGUGAAAUGCGUAGAUAUCGGGAGGAACACCAGUGGCGAAAGCGGCUACCUGGCCCAUUCUUGACGCUGAGGCGCGAAAGCUAGGGGAGCAAACGGG
RNAcentral lists this ribosomal RNA (253 nucleotides) under uncultured bacterium. Its description in RNAcentral is "partial 16S ribosomal RNA". It matches the Rfam family "Bacterial small subunit ribosomal RNA", at positions 524 to 776 of the family's 1533-position model. The record is from RNAcentral.